AUAAUACCGCACAUUAUAUAAGCCAAAUUUUGCAAUAUUAAUGGGGCAUGAUAUUCUUAAGAAUGCAUUAUAAAUGUUCUUAAGCACAUAGAAUGCGUUAUAAAUGGGUUCUCCCCUCAAGCUUCUAUUGUGUGUGUUUGGGGUUGGGGCUGGUGGUGAUGGUGACGAGGAAGAAAAUAAAUAAAGAACAACAACAAUUGGUUGGGUACUAGCACCACCAAUUAUCUCUAUCAUUUCAACACAUGCUAUCGCUAAUUAUGUGGGGAGUGAAGACCAACUGACUCAACAGGUUGAAAAGAAAUUUAUGGAAAAUUAUAGUAUGCAUUGAGUGCACUAAAAAAUAGUACUCAUAGAUACAUAGCUAUAAUUGUACUCUAAAUUAAGAAAUAAUAGGUCCUACGCCUUGUGAGGGAAGGAGCAAGCUUGACGCAAAGAUAAGAUACACAACACUAUUCCAUUUCCCUCUGUUUUUCCCCUGCUUCUCUCACCAAGGAAGUAGGAACUGAGUUUUUUUCUGGCACAGGAAAUUGUUUGGUGAACUAUUUAAAUGUAAACCUCCAGCAGGAUCAAUUACAGUUAUAUCCAAGUGGCUGAAUCCGACUAUUAUAUACCACUCUAUCAAUUGCAACCAAAUGAAUGAAA
This 642-nucleotide unclassified non-coding RNA is filed under the name Hevea brasiliensis (rubber tree). The record is from RNAcentral. Lineage: Eukaryota; Viridiplantae; Streptophyta; Magnoliopsida; Malpighiales; Euphorbiaceae.